UACAGAGGGUGCAAGCGUUGUUCGGAAUUAUUGGGCGUAAAGGGCGCGUAGGCGGCCUGGCAAGUGGAAGGUGAAAUCCCUCGGCUUAACCGAGGAACUGCCUUCCAAACUGCUUGGCUUGAGUCCGGGAGAGGUGAGUGGAAUUCCCAGUGUAGCGGUGAAAUGCGUAGAUAUUGGGAGGAACACCAGUGGCGAAGGCGGCUCACUGGACCGGAACUGACGCUGAUGCGCGAAAGCGUGGGGAGCAAACGGG
This 253-nucleotide ribosomal RNA is filed under the name uncultured bacterium. RNAcentral's name for it is "partial 16S ribosomal RNA". It matches the Rfam family "Bacterial small subunit ribosomal RNA", at positions 524 to 776 of the family's 1533-position model. The record is from RNAcentral.